RNAcentral lists this ribosomal RNA (525 nucleotides) under Chiromantis sp. n. MM-2020. RNAcentral's name for it is "partial large subunit ribosomal RNA". It matches the Rfam family "Bacterial large subunit ribosomal RNA", at positions 1941 to 2639 of the family's 2925-position model. Lineage: Eukaryota; Metazoa; Chordata; Amphibia; Anura; Rhacophoridae. The record is from RNAcentral.
UCUGCCCGUGCAAAGGUAGCGUAAUCACUCGUUCUUUAAAUAGGGACUUGUAUCAACGGCAUCACGAGGGUCGCACUGUCUCCUCCCUCUAAUCAGUGAACCUGAUCUCUCCGUGAAGAAGCGGGGAUAAAAGUAUAAGACGAGAAGACCCCAUGGAGCUUUAAACCUAAAGCAAUCUAAUUAAAUAAACCCCUACAUAAUUUAAAUAUGCAUAACGGUUUUAGGUUGGGGUGACCGCGGAGUAAAAACAAACCUCCACAACGAAAAGAACUGAAUCUUUAUUCAAGAGCUACUACUCUAAAAAUUAGCAUACUAACGAACAAUGACCCGAUAAUCGAUUAAUGGACCAAGUUACCCUGGGUGAUAACAGUCGCAAUCUACUUCAAGAGCCCAUAUCGACAAGUAGGCUUACGACCUCGAUGUUGGUGAUCAGGGUAUCCCAGUGGUGCAACCGCUACUAAUGGUUCGUCUGUUCCACAAUUAACAACACGAACGAGAACGCAACCCUUACCCGAGAAGAACUUU